Small nuclear RNA from Hippopotamus amphibius kiboko, 107 nucleotides. NCBI's taxonomy places the organism in Eukaryota, Metazoa, Chordata, Mammalia, Artiodactyla, Hippopotamidae. The record is from RefSeq and is a predicted model, not a curated record.
GUGCUUGCUUCUGCAGCACCUAUGCUAAAAUUGGAACCCGACUGAGAAGAUGAGCACGGCCCCUGUGCAAGGAUCACAUGCAAAUUUGCAAAGCAGUCUAUAUUUUU